CCUGUCAGGGUGGUAAGGAACUGGCACAAGUUGCCCAGAGAAGCUGUGGACUCCCCAUCCCAGGAAGUGUUCAUGGCCAGGUUGGAUUGGAUUUUGAGCAGCCUGGAAUAGUGGAAGAUAUCCCUGCCCAGGG
Molecule: non-coding RNA, 133 nt
Organism: Sturnus vulgaris (Common starling)
Lineage: Eukaryota; Metazoa; Chordata; Aves; Passeriformes; Sturnidae
Source: RefSeq, a predicted model, not a curated record